This is a non-coding RNA of Solanum tuberosum (potato), 74 nucleotides long. The record is from RefSeq and is marked provisional. NCBI's taxonomy places the organism in Eukaryota, Viridiplantae, Streptophyta, Magnoliopsida, Solanales, Solanaceae.
UGAAGCUGCCAGCAUGAUCUAAACUUUUCUAUUGCUCUGUACGAGGAAAGAUCAGAUCAUGUGGCAGCAUCACC